Molecule: long non-coding RNA, 245 nt
Filed under: Carica papaya (papaya)
Lineage: Eukaryota; Viridiplantae; Streptophyta; Magnoliopsida; Brassicales; Caricaceae
Description: long non-coding RNA (CPAP_LNC008220)
Source: RNAcentral
AUGAAGCACUUCCAGACGUGGACAUAAACAGAUUUCAGGACAGAGCUGUCUCAAACAUGCUUGCACCAGGGUUAGAAAACAAGAAAGGAGAAAGAGAUGUUUUCGAACAAUAAGAAAACUAAAAAGAUGAGACGUUAAAUGAGAUUGGCUGGCCGGUCUGGACCAGGCUGUUAAGAGAUCAUCAUGAUCAUAAUAUUGGGGUUGAUGACAGUAAUGUGAAAGCUUGCAAAAAUCAGCAAUCUGAU